GACAAAGACUGCGGCUACUUUAGCCUCAGUAUGUUCCUACAGUGAGGAUAGGGGAAUCCCCGGUGGUAAGGAAUCCAAAUAGAAUCCAAGGCUUUAUUAUUAUAUUAGCAUAAGUAGUCAACAUUUUCAACUAGGGUUUUUGCCAUACAUGCAAACAUAAUAAAUAAAACCAAACAAAGAUAGUUAGCAUAGAUAGGAGCCUAUCUCUAGUAGGCAUCGGAGUAGAUCUCCACUAAACAAAGAAAAAGAAAGGGGUUGCGGGUCAAAUCCGCAUCUUUGCGCCCUUUACUUACUUCAAGGGAUGUUGCGUCCGAUACAUGAUUGUUUAAUGACGAUUCUCAACAGCAUCUGUAAGAUCUCGAGGCUUACUAGACGGAAUUCGAUCAAAAAUGAAAACUUUGGAUAUUUUUCUUAGAAGGAGAUGAACUACCUAUAUUGUAUGUAAGUGCACGAAUUAAGAGAAAGCUGGCAUCCAAUCAAGAAAGAAUCACUUCGGACAAUUAGACUGAGCUUCUCCCUUGUCUCUCUUCUUUAGCUAAUGAUGAAGCAAAUCCCUAAAGUCAAAGUAGUCCAUGAAAGCAUCUAUUUUUUCCGUUCAAGAAAUUGCUUAUGUAAAGAUGGGGUGAGUCCCUUAUAAGAUCUUCAUUUCUUCUUUUUUCUUCUAUUAGUUAGCUUGGAUUGAGAAAGCUCCGCCCAAUAGUGCUUAGCCAUGUGUGUGUAGACCGAAAUGGUCUCACGAAACCGGUCAACGGUAGCCUAAGAGCAAGUCAAAACUACGAGAAGUGCGCGAGAAGUUUUGUGAAGGUAGAGAGAGAUUUUCAAAUCAGACUUCAAGUUGGUGUGCCGCGUGUUAAGAAGGCAGAGACCGCCCCAGGCUUCGCCCUAAUUCCCAUCUAAGGUUGAAUAAGAUUAGAUUAGUCUCGCUAAAUUCGUUCUCGAAUGAUUCAUCGAUGGAAUUAGGCCUAGUUGUAUGAAAAUUUCUUGUGAUUCCCUCGCUUUCUUCGACGAAGGCAUACACGCAUCGAUAGGGAACCCAAAGAAGGGCUAGAAAAAGGAAAGCGGCACCUUAACUUAAUAGCUCCAUUUCUUGUUCCUGAGCGGAAGGUACGCUCAGCCCCUGAUACAUCGCUAUUUCUUAAUCCUUGCGUCCAGGGAUAAUGAGUCGGUUGGCUCUUAAAGUAUAGCCUCUUUCGGGGUUAGCGAUAAGAGUACACCGGCUCGUAUGGUAGCGGGCGAACUAAGGAUUUCGUGCUUGGAAGAAAGCUUGCAAGUGGGUGAACGCAUCACCAGCCAAGCUAGUCACUUGGAACAUAGGGGUAUUCAAUCCCCGAGCUUCCGGGCCUUGGUAACCGACUUCGAAUUUGCCCCUUAGAUAGUGAGUAGCAAAGAAGGGUAGCGUUUCAAGUUUAGGGUUUUCACUUCCACGUCCCAGCUCGUCGAAGCUACCGCCUAUCGAUUGAAAUUUCCCUCCUCAGCCGGAGACGGAAUCGGCUCCCCCUGAGCCAUCCUCGGAAGAGUAAGGAAGGAGAAGGGAACGGGAGUUUCUCGCCUCCUAAGAGUAUAAAGAGGCGGAGUAUCACCCCAACAAACUAGACGCACGCAUCAAGGCGUUCUGCCAACGAGCGAAGGGGAUCACUCAAGAAAGGGGAUUCAGCCCCGGCAAAUGCGAUGCAGUGAAAGACGCUGCAAACUAUGUGGCCGGUGACGUAAAAGAUAUGUUGGCAGCUAGCCAACUACGCUUUCUAACGAGGUUAAGGCGUGACCUAGAAAAUGCAAACAACGAGACCUGGGGUCUCAUCGAACAGGAAGUUCGAAGAUGGAGACCCGGUUUGGCACGAAAUCAGAAAGGUUUGGGGGCCCGUUGGUCAAAGGAAAGGGAAGGUCCUGCUUCUGGGACGGAGUCGUAUGACGCGAAAGUGUCACGUACGGUUCCUUUGAGAAGGGUGUGAUACCACCACCUAUCAGGCUCGACGAGCGAUCCACGGAGCUGCAUCCUUACUUGCCUGGUCUAUGCACAUCGCUCUCUCCAGGAGGUUGGCCGCCUAUCCUAGAUCUUCCCAUUUAGAAGAAGAUCUCGGGCUCGAUCUGGUUUAGUAUCAAGGAGAUUCUUUUUCUAUUCCUAUAUAUAUGGGUCCGUGCAGCAUUUCCACGAUAUCGUUAUGAUCAAUUAAUGGGACUUGGCCGGAAAAAGUUCUUGCCUCUAUCAUUAACUCGGGUAGUCCCCAUUUCUAGUGUUUUAGUCACCAUUCAAUGGCUCCCUAAAUUAUGUGCGAGGAAUUGCCCUAUUAAGUAAUGGGAAGCGGGCUAGCCCCCGAAAAUGCCCCACCCGUAAGUUCCUUUGUCGUUGGGGAAAAAAAAGAAAGAGAUUUUUUUUAGAAAAGAAAUUCUGCCUUUUUUGAUCCCAUGCUUUCCGUUGGUCAACAACCAACUAAAUCUAUACUUCUUCACUACUCGUACAAGCUUGACGGAGUGAAGCUGUAUUGAGGAAAUCGUUUUGUCUCAACUAAAUCAAUAUGUUUCCAAGAAUUCCGCGUAUCUUUUCCUUUGAUGAAGAAAGUCUCAAUUCCAGUGCUACAUCUGCGACAACUUCUCUUCAAUCCACAACAACUAUUAACGAUUCUUCUAAUGGUAUUUUUGAGCACUUUCCAGGUCUUAACCGUUCCAGUGAACGUAUAGUGGAACUUCAAUCUGAUAUAUGGGCGAAAUUAGGAGAGUUGAUGCCUAACAAGAGUGCCCAAGAAGUUCUGGAAGCGGCCGAAGUUCUACAUGGUGAAAGCAACGAUAUUGACUUUCUUGACUCCCUAUUGAAAGAUUUGAAUCAAAACGGAGUAGCGGGUGAAGCAUAUAAAGAUGCAGUGGAUCUAGUGAAAGAUCUUGUCUCCAGCCCACUUGAACAAUUUGAAAUAAUUCCAUUGAUUCCUAUGAAAAUAGGAAACUUAUAUUUCUCAUUCACAAAUCUAUCUUUUUUUAUGCUACUAACUCUCAGUUUGGUCCUACUUUUGGUUUAUUUUGUUACUAAAAAGGGAGGAGGAAACUCAGUACCAAAUGCUUGGCCAUCCUUGGUAGAGCUUAUUUAUGAUUUGGUGCUGAACCCUGUAAACGAACAAAUAGGUGGUCUUUUUGGAAAUGUUAAACAAAAGUUUUCCCCUCACAUCUCGGUCACUCUUACUUUUUCCUUAUUUUGUAAUCCCCAGGGUAUGAUAAUAUCUUAUAGCUUCACAAUUACAAGUCAUUUUCUCAUUACUUUGGGUCUCUCAUUUUCGAUUUUUAUUGGCAUUACUAUAGUGGGAUUUCAAAAAAAUGGGCCUCAUUUUUUAAGCUUCUUAUUACCCGCGGGAGUCCCGCUGCCAUUAGCACCUUUUUUAGUACUCCUUGAGCUAAUCCCUUAUUAUUUUCGAGCAUUAAGCUCAGGAAUACGUUUAUUUGCUAAUAUGAUGGCUGGUCAUAGUUCAGUAAAGAUUUUAAGUGGGUUCGUCUGGAAUUAGGUGUAGCUAUAUCACAAGCUCAUGUUUCUACGAUCUUAAUCUGUAUUUACUUGAAUGAUGCUAUAAAUCUUCAUCAAAGUGCUUAUUUUUUUAUAAUUGAACAAAAGCGAGUUUGAAUGGGUAUACUUAGUCGUGGAGCAUUCCGAGUCUUUGCUUUAGGAUCGUUCCUGCGCAUCUCCUUACUUUAUAGCAGUUAUUGCUCCGAUUCCAGAAGGUAUUGCUCUCACCUCAACUUUUUCUUUGAAAUCGGAGACUGUUCCAAUUUCCUAUUGAGAUAGGCAAGUGGAGGGAGAACUAGACGUAUCUUGCUAGGCAAAGACAGCUUAGAAUGGAUAGCUCACGGGUGGGAUUGACGGGAUAGAUCACUAUUGCAGAAGGAGGUAGAACUGGGGGAAGAAUUAUGGCUAUAAAGGUCCUCGCCCUCUUAGGCACAUGGUUCUAAAGAUUCAAUCUCAAGGCGGUACUAAAGAUUAGGCAGAAGAAGAACUAUAACUAGAAUUCUUCGCCUCUCCCCUUGUACCAAGAAUAAAGUUUAG
Solanum stenotomum is the source of this 4021-nucleotide RNA transcript. It is a transcript of the gene named ATP synthase subunit a-like, with no coding region annotated. The transcript has a single exon. The record is from RefSeq and is a predicted model, not a curated record. Lineage: Eukaryota; Viridiplantae; Streptophyta; Magnoliopsida; Solanales; Solanaceae.